GACGAACGCUGGCGGCGUGCUUAACACAUGCAAGUCGAACGGAAAGGCCCUGCUUUUGUGGGGUGCUCGAGUGGCGAACGGGUGAGUAACACGUGAGUAACCUGCCCUUGACUUUGGGAUAACUUCAGGAAACUGGGGCUAAUACCGGAUAGGAGCUCCUGCUGCAUGGUGGGGGUUGGAAAGUUUCGGCGGUUGGGGAUGGACUCGCGGCUUAUCAGCUUGUUGGUGGGGUAGUGGCUUACCAAGGCUUUGACGGGUAGCCGGCCUGAGAGGGUGACCGGCCACAUUGGGACUGAGAUACGGCCCAGACUCCUACGGGAGGCAGCAGUGGGGAAUAUUGCACAAUGGGCGGAAGCCGGAUGCAGCAACGCCGCGUGCGGGAUGACGGCCUUCGGGUUGUAAACCGCUUUCGCCUGUGACGAAGCGUGAGUGACGGUAUGGGUAAAGAAGCACCGGCUAACUACGUG
RNAcentral lists this ribosomal RNA (467 nucleotides) under uncultured bacterium. RNAcentral describes it as "partial 16S ribosomal RNA". It matches the Rfam family "Bacterial small subunit ribosomal RNA", at positions 28 to 507 of the family's 1533-position model. The record is from RNAcentral.